This 253-nucleotide ribosomal RNA is filed under the name uncultured bacterium. RNAcentral describes it as "partial 16S ribosomal RNA". It matches the Rfam family "Bacterial small subunit ribosomal RNA", at positions 524 to 776 of the family's 1533-position model. The record is from RNAcentral.
CACGGGGGGAACGAGCGUUGUUCGGAUUUACUGGGCGUAAAGGGUGCGUAGGCGGGUCGGCAAGUCGGGUGUGAAAUUCCAUGGCUUAACCAUGGAUCUGCAUUCGAAACUGUUGGUCUUGAGUACUGGAGAGGUGAGUGGAAUUCUCGGUGUAGCGGUGAAAUGCGUAGAUAUCGAGAGGAACACCGUUGGCGAAGGCGGCUCACUGGACAGAUACUGACGCUGAGGCACGAAGGUCGGGGGAGCAAACAGG